UACGUAGGGUGCAAGCGUUGUCCGGAAUUAUUGGGCGUAAAGAGCGUGUAGGCGGUCCGGUAAGUCAGCUGUGAAAGUCAAGGGCUCAACCCUUGAAUGCCGGUUGAUACUGUCGGGCUAGAGUCCGGAAGAGGCGAGUGGAAUUCCCGGUGUAGCGGUGAAAUGCGCAGAUAUCGGGAGGAACACCAAUGGCGAAGGCAGCUCGCUGGGACGGUACUGACGCUAAGACGCGAAAGCGUGGGGAGCAAACAGG
RNAcentral lists this ribosomal RNA (253 nucleotides) under uncultured bacterium. RNAcentral describes it as "partial 16S ribosomal RNA". It matches the Rfam family "Bacterial small subunit ribosomal RNA", at positions 524 to 776 of the family's 1533-position model. The record is from RNAcentral.